GUAGGCUAGCAAUUGGUGCGCGGCACUGGAGAAGCAUCUGUUCCAUCUACAGGCUCGUUUGGAGGAAAAUAACUAGGAGCGGGAGGGCCAAAUCCCUUCGACCGCAAUGUAGUGCUCGAGCAGGCAUUGCUUGGAUGAUAGGUCCAUAUAGACUGCCUGCUGGCCAGGCCUGGUACAGGCUGGCUGAAAGCGGGAGGGCCAAGUCCCUUUAACCGCUGUAUGGAGAUUUUGUCAAGGUCAGCUGGCUGAAAGUCACUUCUAUGCUACUUUCAAUCUCAUUCAGGAGCUCGUUUUCAACUCGCUCAAGAUUUUUUGAGAGUUGGUCAUCAUUAAGGGUGAAUCUUGAGUGGAGGCAGGACAAGUCGCUGGAUUUGGAUUGGCUGGCCCUUCAAUCGCUCUUCUAUGUACGCGCGAUUUCGUGUGCCUCUUUUAAAAUCUCGAAACAGGCCGUUGAUCACGUGUCCUUCCAUGCGCACAACAGGUGGCAAUCGAAUCUGAUGAGAGAUGGGGCGCCAUCAAAAUGGGCCGUCGCCUCCCGCAUUGCAUGCCGAUCUAGAUGAGUAGUUGGAGAUUGCUGCUGCUGUGUGUCAACGGAAGAUGAAGUCCGUAGCUGGGAGGCCUGU
Molecule: long non-coding RNA, 623 nt
Organism: Drosophila willistoni
Lineage: Eukaryota; Metazoa; Arthropoda; Insecta; Diptera; Drosophilidae
Exons: 3
Source: RefSeq, a predicted model, not a curated record